CUCGGCGAGUCGAGCUCGGACGGGAAGAAGCUACGAGUUGCCAUCAAGUUAGUGUAGUUGUAGGAGCGGUUUCUUGUUCCAGCAAUCUUCUUAUCACCGCCACAAAAAACCGCCGUCUCCUCCUUUCUUCCUCCUCGACAACCCCACUUCGGAUAACUCCACUUCCCCCACUCGGCUAAUCGUAGCUUCCUCCGCUCGCUCCUGCGCAUAGCUCAAUCGAAGGGCCGAGACCGAAGCGAUAGGAGGAGAUGGCGCACGCGUGUGUGUCGACGGCCUCCUCGCCUCUCAGAUUCAGUUCUCUCGCUCCCUCCCCGAACCCUAGCUCCUCGCUCGACUCUCAGAAGCUCGCCCUCGCCUCGGAGCCGCUUCGUUCCAGGAAAUUUAACAAGCUUGUUUGCAGCAGAAAGAAUCUUCAGCCGGCAAAGGCCGCUUAUUCGGGUGAGUUCUGGGCUUCCGAGGGGAGUUCUCUGCAGGGCAUCUGGUCCAUAAGGGAUGAUUUGCAAAUUCCGUCUUCACCAUACUUCCCUACUUAUGCACAAGGUCAAGGGCCUCCGCCAAUGGUACAAGAGCGUUUUCAGAGCGUAAUCAGCCAGCUUUUCCAAUAUAGAAUAAUACGCUGUGGUGGUGCUGUUGACGAUGACAUGGCCAACAUUAUCGUCGCUCAGCUUCUUUACCUAGAUGCUGUUGAUCCAAACAAGGAUAUUGUGAUGUACGUGAAUUCUCCUGGAGGAUCUGUUACAGCUGGUAUGGCUAUAUUUGACACGAUGAGGCAUAUUCGUCCCGAUGUCUCCACUGUGUGUGUUGGACUUGCAGCUAGUAUGGGGGCUUUCUUGCUAAGUGCCGGGACCAAAGGGAAACGAUAUAGCUUGCCAAACUCAAGAAUAAUGAUACAUCAACCUCUUGGUGGAGCACAAGGUGGACAAACUGACAUAGAUAUCCAGGCAAAUGAAAUGCUGCAUCAUAAGGCAAACCUUAAUGGCUAUCUCUCUUAUCACACGGGUCAAAGUCUUGAGAAGAUCAAUGAGGACACAGAUCGUGAUUUCUUCAUGAGUGCCAAGGAAGCCAAAGAGUAUGGACUUAUUGAUGGUGUGAUCAUGAAUCCUCUCAAAGCUCUUCAGCCCCUGGCAGCUGCGGCAGAUUCAUGAAGGCACCUCCGUCUCUAAGCUUUCUAGGCAGGAUUGGAUCUCAUCUUGGCUAGAUUUGUUUUUUGGGGAACAAGUGAGUUUACUAUACAGGAGCUAAGUCGUCUUCCUUGGCCCCUUUAAUGUGGUCCUUGCCAAUCGUCAAUUGGUGUAUUUCUUGUAAUUUCCAGAGCACUAAUUUGUUGAGGAUCUACAUAAUUUGAAGACUCAGAGAUGUGCAACUUUCCAGUGCAGUUUGUAGUUUUUUCCCUUCCUUUCACUUUUUGCACUUCGCCACGGCUCUCCCCCAACUCCGUUCUUUCCUAUUAUCCAAAUGUUAAUGAAAGAGUGUAGAUAUGUCAGUCUACCAUGAGAACUGGGAACCGCAGGGUUUAGGUUUCAGAAGCCUUGAGUUGCCUUGGCUUGAAUUUAGCAGGCAGAUCUUGAUUUUGUAAAGCAAUUUUUGCUGUUUUGGCUCUCCUGCAUCA
This is an RNA transcript of Rhodamnia argentea, 1609 nucleotides long. It is a transcript of the gene named ATP-dependent Clp protease proteolytic subunit 5, chloroplastic, with no coding region annotated. The transcript has 11 exons. The record is from RefSeq and is a predicted model, not a curated record. Lineage: Eukaryota; Viridiplantae; Streptophyta; Magnoliopsida; Myrtales; Myrtaceae.